AGAGGUGGCAAGCGUUGUUCGGAAUUAUUGGGCGUAAAGAGCACGUAGGUGGAUUUGUUAGUCAGAUGUGAAAGCCUUCUGUUCAACGGAAGAAUUGCAUCUGAAACUACAAACCUUGAGUAUAGGAGGGGAGAGUGGAACUUCUGGUGGAGCGGUGAAAUGCGUAGAUAUCAGAAGGAACGCCGGCGGCGAAAGCGACUCUCUGGCCUAUAACUGACACUGAGUGUGCGAAAGCUAGGGGGGAGCAAACGGGAUUAGAUACCCCGGUAGUCCUAGCCGUAAACGAUGGGCACUAAGUAGGGGGAACUAUCGAUGUUCUCUCUGCCGUAGCUAACGCAUUAAGUGCCCCCCGCCUGGGAGUACGGCCGCAAGGCUA
Molecule: ribosomal RNA, 376 nt
Filed under: uncultured organism
Description: partial 16S ribosomal RNA
Rfam family: Bacterial small subunit ribosomal RNA
Source: RNAcentral